CGGCGGCGUCCCUCAAAGACACUGAUUAUCGGGCGCCAUUGUUUCCGAGUGCAGUUACAUGCAAAUCCUCGGCCCUCCUGGCCGCACCGCUUUUGUUUUUCAAAUCCGAGCUCGAGAUGCGCGGCAGUUUUGAAAGUGUGAAUUGGCGAUACUGACACGACGAGAAGGUCUCUAUGACUGAGCAUUCCUUGUUCAUUCGGCCAUGGAUAAUCCAGAAGAAGACACAGAAAGGAUUGUCUUCUGUUUCAAGAAGAACAGACCUUGUUCAAUGCCAAAGGGACAUUCUGGGAAAUGUGACAGCAAAAGAAAGACGGAGUCACCGCACCAAUUCUGGCGCAAGAGCCCACGUUGGAGCACAGAUGUAGGAAAAGCAGCUGCAGA
Long non-coding RNA from Branchiostoma belcheri (Belcher's lancelet), 381 nucleotides. RefSeq lists it as uncharacterized. The transcript is spliced from 3 exons. The record is from RefSeq and is a predicted model, not a curated record. NCBI's taxonomy places the organism in Eukaryota, Metazoa, Chordata, Leptocardii, Amphioxiformes, Branchiostomatidae.